Molecule: RNA transcript, 2959 nt
Organism: Vigna radiata var. radiata (mung bean)
Lineage: Eukaryota; Viridiplantae; Streptophyta; Magnoliopsida; Fabales; Fabaceae
Gene name: auxin response factor 3
Exons: 12
Source: RefSeq, a predicted model, not a curated record
GUAAGAAAAUUGAAUUGGGGAGUGUUUUUAGUUAAGAAGAUGGUUAAAUGUGAAGGAUAAUAGUAGAGUGAGUUGGUAAUAGAGUGGGAAUGAAAGGGUUUCCCGAAAAGCAAACCCCAUAAUUGUGUGUAGUGAAGAGCCCAAAAAGGGUGGGAAAAAUGAAGAGAGUGAUUGGUCAGUGGGAGAGAAAGACAGACACAGAAAGCGGGUCUCUUUCUUUUUGGAGUAUUGGGUCAGGUUCUUUUGGCAAUGCCAAAGUUGGUCACGCUCACUGAAAAUGCAGGAGGCAUGAAACCACUCCUUCAAAUAUCUUCCCCCACUCACAACUCCUGUGUUUCUUCUUCCUCCUCCUCCUCCUCCUCCUCUGUCUCUGCUCCUUCUCUCUCUGUCUCCCUCUUUCCUCCUCCUCAUGCCUGCCCUCAUCGAUCUUAACAGCGCCACCGAGGACCAUGAAACACCAUCAUCUCGCCCCUCCUCCGUCUGCCUCGAACUCUGGCACGCCUGCGCGGGUCCUAUGAUCUCCUUGCCCAAGAAAGGAACUCUUGUCGUGUACUUCCCUCAAGGACACUUGGAACAACACCUUCACGAUUUUCCGCUUCCUGCGUCUGCUAACAUCCCUUCCCAUCUCUUCUGUCGCGUUCUCGAUGUCAAGCUCCACGCCGAGGAAGGGAGCGAUGAAGUGUAUUGCCAGGUGGUGUUGGUUCCCAAAAGUGAGCAAGUGCAUCCGAAGUUGCUGGAAGGGGAAAUUGAUGCUGAUGGUGAGGAGGAGGAUGCUGAAGCUGUGAUGAAGUCCACCACACCCCACAUGUUCUGCAAGACUUUGACAGCUUCUGAUACUAGCACCCACGGUGGAUUUUCUGUGCCUCGUCGUGCUGCGGAAGAUUGCUUUCCACCUCUGGAAUAUAGUCAACAGAGACCUUCGCAGGAGCUUGUGGCGAAGGAUCUACAUGGUCAAGAAUGGAGGUUUCGACAUAUUUAUAGGGGGCAACCACGACGACACUUGCUUACUACUGGGUGGAGUGCAUUUGUGAACAAGAAGAAACUUGUAUCUGGAGAUGCUGUUCUGUUUCUUAGGGGCGAGGAUGGAGAACUAAGAUUGGGAAUUCGUAGGGCUGCUCAAUUAAAAGGUGGCAGUGCAAUUUCAACUUUUGCUGCUGAGCAAUUGAACCUUAGCAGUCUUCUUGAUGUGGUUAAUGCUUUAUCAGCAAGACGAGCCUUUAGUGUUCACUAUAAUCCAAGGGUCAGCUCAUCUGAGUUCAUCAUACCCGUUAAGAAAUUCUUGAGGAGCCUUGAUUAUUCUUAUUCAGUUGGAACAAGAUUCAGGAUGCGUUUUGAAACUGAAGAGGCUGCAGAGCGAAGAUUUACAGGAUUGAUUGUUGGAAUUACUGAUGUGGAUCCUGUUAGAUGGCCUGGAUCAAAAUGGAGAUGCCUAAUGGUAAGGUGGGAUGACCUAGAAGCCUCAAGGCAUAAUAGGGUUUCACCUUGGGAGAUUGAGCCAUCUGGUUCUGCAUCUACUGCAAAUAAAUUGAUAUCAGCUGGUUUGAAGAGGACCAAGAUUGGAUUGCCUUCAACCAAGCUAGAUUUUCAAGUUUCCGAUACAAUUGGAUCAUCAGACUUUGGCGAAUCACUAAGGUUCCAGAAGGUCUUGCAAGGUCAAGAAAUAUUGGGUGUUAAUACUACUUUUGAUAGUAUUAGUGGUCAGAAUCACCAGCUAUCCGAUUUGAGGAGAUGCUAUCCUGGCUCAAACUGUCCUAGGAUUGCUGCAACUGGAAAUAGCAUUGGAAUUCCACAAGUGAGUUCCAAUGUUUCCUGCAAUGGCAUAGGCUUUAGUGAAUCUUUCAUAUUCCAGAAGGUCUUGCAAGGUCAAGAAAUACUUCCAAGCCAACCAUAUGGAAGGGCCCUGUCUGUUGAUGAGGCUUGUGGAAAUGGUCGCUUUGGACCUUUUGAUGGUUACCACACACUGAGACCCAGCAAUGGAUGGUCUUCCCACUUGAGUAACAAUUCUUCACAUUUGCAUCCACCUGUUCCAUCUGGGCAAGUUUCAUCUCCAUCAUCUGUGUUAGUGUUCCAGCAAGCAGUCAAUCCAGUUUCAAACUCUGAUUAUAGCAGCAAAAUCAGUCUGAUGAUGGAAGGUAAAGUCCGUCAUCAACUUUCAUACACUUCUGAAGCUAAAGGGGGAAAAUUUGUAUCAGUCCCUUAUGAGCCUCUUCGUGGACUAGUUCAGAAAGGCACAAGUUCUUGUGGUGUCUCAAACUUGCAUAAUCAGUUAGAAAGUUCAUGUUCACACGAUUCUAUUUCAGCACUUCGGGCUAGUCAAGAGUUGGUUCCCACUUGUAAAAGUCGAUGCAGAGUCUUUGGCUUUUCAUUAACUGAGGGCACUCCUGUUGCAAGUACAGAAGUAGCUGGCGCCAACCCAUCUGCAGUCACAUGUUCUGGACCUUCCUUUGCAAGACACGGUGAAGAUGGUUUCCACCCAAUGCAUCCGCAUAGGAGCAAGGCAGUGGGAAGUUAUUGCACCAAAAAGCAUGAAAAUAUUACCAAAUUCUAAUUCACUGUAGCAAGAAAAUGAUGGAUGGUUAACCAAAAGAGUGAAGGAUGUAAUGCCGGGUGUGCUGCAGUAUUGACUUGAAAAUCAUGAUGUGUGCGAGUAGUGAUGCUGUCUUAAAGUAGCAGAAGAGAAUGUCCACUGUUGUACUAAUGUUGGAAUAUUAUAACUAUUGGCCUAAAUAGAUAAAAAAUCGGCUGUGACAAAAUCAAGUUCCUGUAUUAAUAUUUUAUGUACACUAUUAUUUACUUGUAAAACGAUGCACGUGUACUUAUCGUUAUGGCCAUGUGAGUGGCACUGCAUAACCCUUCAUCUGUCUUGAACUGGGCAUGAUUACUUGAGAGAACAGUUGCUCAUCAUGUUUCAUGACUUUAAUGUUGUCUCCAUAUUACGAACUUUCCCCUUUCUUGGUUA